RNAcentral lists this ribosomal RNA (1266 nucleotides) under Bifidobacterium longum. Its description in RNAcentral is "bacterial SSU rRNA". It matches the Rfam family "Bacterial small subunit ribosomal RNA", at positions 161 to 1440 of the family's 1533-position model. Lineage: Bacteria; Bacillati; Actinomycetota; Actinomycetes; Bifidobacteriales; Bifidobacteriaceae. The record is from RNAcentral.
UGGUAAUGCCGGAUGCUCCAGUUGAUCGCAUGGUCUUCUGGGAAAGCUUUCGCGGUAUGGGAUGGGGUCGCGUCCUAUCAGCUUGACGGCGGGGUAACGGCCCACCGUGGCUUCGACGGGUAGCCGGCCUGAGAGGGCGACCGGCCACAUUGGGACUGAGAUACGGCCCAGACUCCUACGGGAGGCAGCAGUGGGGAAUAUUGCACAAUGGGCGCAAGCCUGAUGCAGCGACGCCGCGUGAGGGAUGGAGGCCUUCGGGUUGUAAACCUCUUUUAUCGGGGAGCAAGCGAGAGUGAGUUUACCCGUUGAAUAAGCACCGGCUAACUACGUGCCAGCAGCCGCGGUAAUACGUAGGGUGCAAGCGUUAUCCGGAAUUAUUGGGCGUAAAGGGCUCGUAGGCGGUUCGUCGCGUCCGGUGUGAAAGUCCAUCGCUUAACGGUGGAUCCGCGCCGGGUACGGGCGGGCUUGAGUGCGGUAGGGGAGACUGGAAUUCCCGGUGUAACGGUGGAAUGUGUAGAUAUCGGGAAGAACACCAAUGGCGAAGGCAGGUCUCUGGGCCGUUACUGACGCUGAGGAGCGAAAGCGUGGGGAGCGAACAGGAUUAGAUACCCUGGUAGUCCACGCCGUAAACGGUGGAUGCUGGAUGUGGGGCCCGUUCCACGGGUUCCGUGUCGGAGCUAACGCGUUAAGCAUCCCGCCUGGGGAGUACGGCCGCAAGGCUAAAACUCAAAGAAAUUGACGGGGGCCCGCACAAGCGGCGGAGCAUGCGGAUUAAUUCGAUGCAACGCGAAGAACCUUACCUGGGCUUGACAUGUUCCCGACGGUCGUAGAGAUACGGCUUCCCUUCGGGGCGGGUUCACAGGUGGUGCAUGGUCGUCGUCAGCUCGUGUCGUGAGAUGUUGGGUUAAGUCCCGCAACGAGCGCAACCCUCGCCCCGUGUUGCCAGCGGAUUAUGCCGGGAACUCACGGGGGACCGCCGGGGUUAACUCGGAGGAAGGUGGGGAUGACGUCAGAUCAUCAUGCCCCUUACGUCCAGGGCUUCACGCAUGCUACAAUGGCCGGUACAACGGGAUGCGACGCGGCGACGCGGAGCGGAUCCCUGAAAACCGGUCUCAGUUCGGAUCGCAGUCUGCAACUCGACUGCGUGAAGGCGGAGUCGCUAGUAAUCGCGAAUCAGCAACGUCGCGGUGAAUGCGUUCCCGGGCCUUGUACACACCGCCCGUCAAGUCAUGAAAGUGGGCAGCACCCGAAGCCGGUGGCCUAACC